GACGAACGCUGGCGGCGUGCUUAACACAUGCAAGUCGAACGGAAAGGCCUGCUUUCCCUUGUGGAUUGCGGGUACUCGAGUGGCGAACGGGUGAGCAACACGUGAGUGAUCUGCCCCCAACUUGGGUAUAAGCCUGGGAAACUGGGUCUAAUUCCCGAUAGGACUGCAGGGUGGUGUCUGUGGUGGAAAACGAUUUUCUAGUGGUUGGGGAUGAGCUCGCGGCCUAUCAGCUUGUUGGUGGGGUAAUGGCCUACCAAGGCGGCGACGGGUAGCCGGCCUGAGAGGGUGGACGGCCACAUUGGGACUGAGAUACGGCCCAGACUCCUACGGGAGGCAGCAGUGGGGAAUAUUGCACAAUGGGCGGAAGCCUGAUGCAGCGACGCCGCGUGGGGGAUGACGGCCUUCGGGUUGUAAACUCCUUUCGACCGCGAGGAAGCCACCUGGUUGGAAGGGUGGUGACGGUAGUGGUAGAAGAAGCACCGGCUAACUACGUG
RNAcentral lists this ribosomal RNA (494 nucleotides) under uncultured bacterium. RNAcentral describes it as "partial 16S ribosomal RNA". It matches the Rfam family "Bacterial small subunit ribosomal RNA", at positions 28 to 507 of the family's 1533-position model. The record is from RNAcentral.